GACGAACGCUGGCGGCGUGCUUAACACAUGCAAGUCGAACGGAAAGGCCCUGCUUUUGUGGGGUGCUCGAGUGGCGAACGGGGGUGUAACACGUGAGUAACCUGCCCUUGUCUUUGGGGUAACUUCAGGAAACUGGGGCUCAUACCGGAUAGGAGCUCCUGCUGCAUGGUGGGGGUUGGAAAGUUUCGGCGGUUGGGGAUGGACUCGCGGCUUAUCAGCUUGUUGGUGGGGUAGUGGCUUACCAAGGCUUUGACGGGUAGCCUGCCUGAGAGGGUUACCGGCCACCAUGGGACUGAGAUACGGCCCAGAAGGCUACGGGAGGCAGCAGUGGGGAAUAUUGCACAAUGGGCGGAAGCCUGAUGCAGCAACGCCGCGUGCGGGAUGACGGCCUUCGGGUUGUAAACCGCUUUCGACUGUGACGAAGCGUGAGUGACGGUAAUGGGUAAAGAAGCACCGGCUAACUACGUG
Molecule: ribosomal RNA, 468 nt
Filed under: uncultured bacterium
Lineage: Bacteria
Description: partial 16S ribosomal RNA
Rfam family: Bacterial small subunit ribosomal RNA
Source: RNAcentral